GGAGAGCUGGCCGAGUGGUCGAAGGCGCACGCCUGGAAAGUGUGUAUACGGCAACGUAUCGAGGGUUCGAAUCCCUCGCUCUCCGCCA
Molecule: transfer RNA, 88 nt
Filed under: Halieaceae bacterium
Lineage: Bacteria; Pseudomonadati; Pseudomonadota; Gammaproteobacteria; Cellvibrionales; Halieaceae
Also listed under: 1 other name
Description: tRNA-Ser
Rfam family: tRNA
About the family: Transfer RNA (tRNA) molecules are approximately 80 nucleotides in length. Their secondary structure includes four short double-helical elements and three loops (D, anti-codon, and T loops). Further hydrogen bonds mediate the characteristic L-shaped molecular structure. tRNAs have two regions of fundamental functional importance: the anti-codon, which is responsible for specific mRNA codon recognition, and the 3' end, to which the tRNAs corresponding amino acid is attached (by aminoacyl-tRNA synthetases). tRNAs cope with the degeneracy of the genetic code in two manners: having more than one tRNA (with a specific anti-codon) for a particular amino acid; and 'wobble' base-pairing, i.e. permitting non-standard base-pairing at the 3rd anti-codon position.
Source: RNAcentral